GUUUGAUCCCUGGCUCAGAACGAACGCUGGCGGCAGGCUUAACACAUGCAAGUCGAGCGCCCCGCAAGGGGAGCGGCAGACGGGUGAGUAACGCGUGGGAACGUACCUUUUGYUACGGAAUAACUCAGGGAAACUUGUGCUAAUACCGUAUGUGCCCUUCGGGGGAAAGAUUUAUCGGCAAAGGAUCGGCCCGCGUUGGAUUAGCUAGUUGGUGAGGUAAAGGCUCACCAAGGCGACGAUCCAUAGCUGGUCUGAGAGGAUGAUCAGCCACACUGGGACUGAGACACGGCCCAGACUCCUACGGGAGGCAGCAGUGGGGAAUAUUGGACAAUGGGCGCAAGCCUGAUCCAGCC
Molecule: ribosomal RNA, 353 nt
Filed under: Ochrobactrum sp. R-27046
Lineage: Bacteria; Pseudomonadati; Pseudomonadota; Alphaproteobacteria; Hyphomicrobiales; Brucellaceae
Description: bacterial SSU rRNA
Rfam family: Bacterial small subunit ribosomal RNA
Source: RNAcentral